GGCGAUUCUCCGAAAUGUCGAGAUUUUGUUCUAGGUAACGGGGCUCUGGUUCCUCUGCUAUCUCAGCUAAAUGAGCAUGCUAAACUUUCUAUGCUUAGAAAUGCUACCUGGACACUUUCGAAUUUCUGUAGGGGCAAGCCUCAGCCUGCUUUUGAUCAGGUUAGUUGGAUUACCCUCAUGUGAAAUUUAUAUUGUGAGAUGCUUUUGUGUAUAUACCUGCAUAAAAACCUUUAACAUUAAUGGUCAUAAAGCUUGCAGUUGUCCUACCAAUAGAUUCACUUGUCUCAGUUCGUGUCCAGGAAAAGCAUGCAACACUGUCAAUAUUUUUGCAUAUCUAGUUCCUGUUUUGUUAAAGAAUAAAAAAAAAAAAAAUUCAACAUAAAGUUAACAAAAGCGAUGGAAGUCCCUUGAUAUUUCGUUAAUAUAUGCUGCUGGAACUGCAAGCUUCAUAUUUUUAUGUUUAUUUGUACUCUCAUUAUCCAUGUUUCUAAAAUUACCUUUAUAGAUGAGACCAGUGCUCCCAGCUCUUCAGCGUCUUAUUCAUUCAAAUGAUGAAGAGGUGUUAACUGAUGCAUGU
RNAcentral lists this long non-coding RNA (577 nucleotides) under Daucus carota (carrot). RNAcentral describes it as "long non-coding RNA (DCAR_LNC006078)". The record is from RNAcentral. Lineage: Eukaryota; Viridiplantae; Streptophyta; Magnoliopsida; Apiales; Apiaceae.